RNAcentral lists this transfer RNA (64 nucleotides) under Bundoksia longissima. RNAcentral describes it as "tRNA-Glu". Lineage: Eukaryota; Metazoa; Arthropoda; Insecta; Blattodea; Blattidae. The record is from RNAcentral.
AUUUAUAUAGUUUAAUACAAAACAUUACAUUUUCAUUGUAAAAAUAAAUAAAAUUUUAUAAAUA